Molecule: long non-coding RNA, 451 nt
Filed under: Mytilus galloprovincialis (Mediterranean mussel)
Lineage: Eukaryota; Metazoa; Mollusca; Bivalvia; Mytilida; Mytilidae
Source: RNAcentral
UUGUUUGUUUUUGGUCAUAUAUGCCACAAAAUGAAUAUAUAAGUUAUGUAGAAAAUCAUCAGAUAUAAACAAAAUUUGAACUUGAUCUGCAUUAUUGUUCAACUUAAUACCAAUUCUGAAAUCAAUAUUUACAAGCAUAAGGGGUAAGUGUGGAGUUAAUUUUCAAAGUUCAAGGACCACAACUCUGCACAAAAUCAUCAGCCUGAAACAAAAUUCCAACUUCAUCUAUAACUUGUCUGGAUAAAACUUUUUACCAAUUUUCAAAUCAAUAUCACUUCAAACUUCCCACAAAUGUCUGUCUAAAUUUUGGAUUGAUAUCAAUGUCUUGCAUGCUGAUUUUUAGGGAGUUUCAAAACGUAUUAAACCACCAUUUUCCAGUUUCGAUUCACAAACUCUAAAGAGUAUGCACUUUUGAUGUGCCUUAUAUUCCUUAAUCCUUAAGUAUAAGCCC